AGAGUUUGAUCCUGGCUCAGAUUGAACGCUGGCGGCAGGCCUAACACAUGCAAGUCGAGCGGAUGAUGGGAGCUUGCUCCUGGAUUCAGCGGCGGACGGGUGAGUAAUGCCUAGGAAUCUGCCUGGUAGUGGGGGACAACGUUUCGAAAGGAACGCUAAUACCGCAUACGUCCUACGGGAGAAAGCAGGGGACCUUCGGGCCUUGCGCUAUCAGAUGAGCCUAGGUCGGAUUAGCUUGUUGGUGAGGUAAUGGCUCACCAAGGCGACGAUCCGUAACUGGUCUGAGAGGAUGAUCAGUCACACUGGAACUGAGACACGGUCCAGACUCCUACGGGAGGCAGCAGAAGGG
Molecule: ribosomal RNA, 349 nt
Filed under: uncultured Pseudomonas sp.
Lineage: Bacteria; Pseudomonadati; Pseudomonadota; Gammaproteobacteria; Pseudomonadales; Pseudomonadaceae
Description: bacterial SSU rRNA
Rfam family: Bacterial small subunit ribosomal RNA
Source: RNAcentral